UUCUUUGGGGCAGGGUGUGAUUCCCUACCGGUGGUAACAGUCCACGAGCGCGGAUUUUCGCGCAUGAUCAGGUGCAAUUCCUGAACCGACGGUAUAGUCCGGAUGAGAAAAGA
Molecule: non-coding RNA, 113 nt
Filed under: human gut metagenome
Description: FMN riboswitch (RFN element)
Rfam family: FMN riboswitch aptamer (RFN element)
About the family: The RFN element is a highly conserved domain that is found frequently in the 5'-untranslated regions of prokaryotic mRNAs that encode for flavin mononucleotide (FMN) biosynthesis and transport proteins. This element is a metabolite-dependent riboswitch that directly binds FMN in the absence of proteins.
Source: RNAcentral